GAUUAGAUACCCCACUAUGCUUUGCCCUAAACAUUGAUAGCUAUUUACACCCACUAUCCGCCCGGGUACUACGAGCAACAGCUUAAAACCCAAAGGACUUGGCGGUGCUUUAGACCCACCUAGAGGAGCCUGUUCUAAAACCGAUAACCCCCGUUCAACCUCACCUUUUCUUGUUCUCCCCGCCUAUAUACCGCCGUCGUCAGCUUACCCUAUGAAGGCCCUUCAGUAAGCACAAUUGGCACAGCCCAAUACGUCAGGUCGAGGUGUAGCGUAUGAAAAGGGAAGAAAUGGGCUACAUUCACUGACACAGUGAAUCACGAAAAAUACCACUGAAACGUGUAUCUAGAAGGAGGAUUUAGCAGUAAGCAGAAAAUAGAGCGUUCUGCUGAAACUGGCCCUGAAGCGCGCACACACC
Molecule: ribosomal RNA, 415 nt
Filed under: Cephalopholis formosa
Lineage: Eukaryota; Metazoa; Chordata; Actinopteri; Perciformes; Serranidae
Description: partial 12S ribosomal RNA
Rfam family: Bacterial small subunit ribosomal RNA
Source: RNAcentral